This 484-nucleotide ribosomal RNA is filed under the name uncultured bacterium. RNAcentral describes it as "bacterial SSU rRNA". It matches the Rfam family "Bacterial small subunit ribosomal RNA", at positions 32 to 526 of the family's 1533-position model. The record is from RNAcentral.
AAUCAACGCUGGCGGCGUGCCUCAGACAUGCAAGUCGAACGAUUAAAGCUCCCUUCGGGGAGUGCAUAGAGUGGCGCACGGGUGAGUAACACGUAAGUAAUCUACCUUUGAGUGGGGAAUAACGUUCGGAAACGGACGCUAAUACCGCAUAAUGCAGCGGCAUCGCAAGAUGACAGUUGUUAAAGGAGCAAUCCGCUUAAAGAGGAGCUUGCGGCAGAUUAGCUUGUUGGUAAGGUAACGGCUUACCAAGGCUACGAUCUGUAUCCGGUCUAAGAGGACGGUCGGACACACUGACACUGAAUAACGGGUCAGACUCCUACGGGAGGCAGCAGUCGGGAAUUUGGGUCAAUGGGCGAAAGCCUGACCCAGCAACGCCGCGUGAAGGAUGAAGUAUUUCGGUACGUAAACUUCGAAAGAAUAGAAGAAUAAAUGACGGUACUAUUUAUAAGCUCCGCUACUAACGUGCCAGCAGCCGCCGCAGUAC